GUGCUUACGUUGGCAGCACAUAAACUAAAAUUGGGAAGAUACGCAGAAGAGUAAUAUGGUCCCUACACAAGGAUGUCACAAAAAUUUGUGAAGCAUUCCAUAUUAAA
Zalophus californianus (California sea lion) is the source of this 107-nucleotide small nuclear RNA. The record is from Ensembl. NCBI's taxonomy places the organism in Eukaryota, Metazoa, Chordata, Mammalia, Carnivora, Otariidae.